This 1436-nucleotide ribosomal RNA is filed under the name uncultured bacterium. RNAcentral's name for it is "bacterial SSU rRNA". It matches the Rfam family "Bacterial small subunit ribosomal RNA". The record is from RNAcentral.
AGAGUUUGAUCCUGGCUCAGGACGAACGCUGGCGGCGUGCCUUAUACAUGCAAGUCAAGGGGGUCCGACGUUAAGUCGGACAACCGGCGAACGGGUGAGGAACACGUGGGAACUAAGCACAAGUUGAGAAUAACCUGUCGAAAGAUGGGCUAAUACUCGAUGUGGUCGCAAGACUAAAGGAGCAAUCCGCUUGUGAACAGGCCCGCGUCCUAUCAGCUUGUUGGUGGGGUAAUGGCCUACCAAGGCGACGACGGGUAGCUGGUCUGAGAGGAUGAUCAGCCACAAUGGGACUGCGACACGGCCCAUACUCCUACGGGAGGCAGCAGUAGGGAAUUUUGCGCAAUGGACGAAAGUCUGACGCAGCGACGCCGCGUGCAGGAUGAAUGCCUUCGGGUUGUAAACUGCUUUUAUAGGGGACGAAUUUUUGACGGUACCUUAUGAAUAAGAGGUUGCUAACUCUGUGCCAGCAGCAGCGGUAAUACAGAGACCUCAAGCGUUGUCCGGAUUUAUUGGGCGUAAAGCGUUCCGAUCGGCGGUUUCACAAGUCUGUGGUUAAAUCUAGAGGCUCAACCUCUAACCUGCCAUGGAAACUGUGAGACUAGAGGGGCAAAGAGGUGCUUGGAACGAACGGUGUAGCAGUGAAAUGCGUUGAUAUCGUUCGGAACACCAAUAGCGAAGGCAGAGCACUGGGUGCCUCCUGACGCUGCUAGGACGAAAGCGUGGGUAGCGAAUGGGAUUAGAUACCCCAGUAGUCCACGCCGUAAACGAUGAUAACUAGACACGAGAGAGUAUCGACCCUUUUUCGUGUCGAAGCUAACGCGUUAAGUUAUCCGCCUGGGGAGUACGGCCGCAAGGCUAAAACUCAAAGGAAUUGACGGGGACCCGCACAAGCGGUGGAGCAUGUGGUUUAAUUCGAUGCUAAGCGAGGAACCUUACCUGGACUUGACAUUCAGCUGCAAACCUCAGAGAUGAGGUCGCCUUCGAGGGUGCUGAACAGGUGAUGCACGGUUGUCGUCAGCUCGUGUCGUGAGAUGUUGCCUUAAGUGGCAGAACGAGCGCAACCCCCAUUCUAUGUUACUGUGUCAUAGAAGACUGCCAGGGUUUAACCUGGAGGAAGGUGGGGAUGACGUCAAAUCAGCGUGUCUCUUACGUCCAGGGCUACACACGUGCUACAAUGGGGUGCAACAAAGGGACGCCAAGCCGUAAGGUGGAGCAAAUCCCAUCAAACCACCCCCCAGUUCGGAUUGAGGGCUGCAAUUCGCCCCCAUGAAGUUGGAAUCGCUAGUAACCGUAGAUCAGCCUCGCUACGGUGAAUACGUUCUCGGGUUUUGUACACACCGCCCGUCACACCAUGGAAGUGAGUAGUACCCAAAGCUUCAGCUUAGCUGGAGUUAAGGUAAGAUUCAUGACUGGGGUGAAGUCGUAACAAGGUAACC